GGGUUCGAUCAUACCAGCACUACAACACCGAAUUCC
This 36-nucleotide ribosomal RNA is filed under the name Prospero autumnale (starry hyacinth). The record is from RNAcentral. Lineage: Eukaryota; Viridiplantae; Streptophyta; Magnoliopsida; Asparagales; Asparagaceae.